RNAcentral lists this transfer RNA (88 nucleotides) under Aeromonas hydrophila. RNAcentral's name for it is "tRNA-Ser". It matches the Rfam family "tRNA". From Rfam's summary of the family: Transfer RNA (tRNA) molecules are approximately 80 nucleotides in length. The record is from RNAcentral. Lineage: Bacteria; Pseudomonadati; Pseudomonadota; Gammaproteobacteria; Aeromonadales; Aeromonadaceae.
GGAGAGAUGCCGGAGGGCCGAACGGGAUUGACUCGAAAUCAAUUGUGGCAGCAAUGCCACCCAGGGUUCGAAUCCUGUCUCUCCACCA